GGUGGCUCAGGUGGUAGAGUGCUUGCCUUGCAUGCAUGAGGUCCUGGGUUUGAUUCCUUGGCACCA
RNAcentral lists this transfer RNA (66 nucleotides) under Dipodomys ordii (Ord's kangaroo rat). It matches the Rfam family "tRNA". From Rfam's summary of the family: Transfer RNA (tRNA) molecules are approximately 80 nucleotides in length. Their secondary structure includes four short double-helical elements and three loops (D, anti-codon, and T loops). Further hydrogen bonds mediate the characteristic L-shaped molecular structure. tRNAs have two regions of fundamental functional importance: the anti-codon, which is responsible for specific mRNA codon recognition, and the 3' end, to which the tRNAs corresponding amino acid is attached (by aminoacyl-tRNA synthetases). tRNAs cope with the degeneracy of the genetic code in two manners: having more than one tRNA (with a specific anti-codon) for a particular amino acid; and 'wobble' base-pairing, i.e. permitting non-standard base-pairing at the 3rd anti-codon position. Lineage: Eukaryota; Metazoa; Chordata; Mammalia; Rodentia; Heteromyidae. The record is from Rfam by way of RNAcentral.